This 386-nucleotide long non-coding RNA is filed under the name Macaca mulatta (Rhesus monkey). RNAcentral describes it as "lncRNA (ENSMMUG00000048656.2)". Lineage: Eukaryota; Metazoa; Chordata; Mammalia; Primates; Cercopithecidae. The record is from RNAcentral.
CCCACGGCUCACCAGGACCAGUGCAAGGUUGGCUGACGUUCAGCUUUCCCCAGGCUGAUCAUCGGGCCACAGCAUCGCCUACUGGGGACAAGUACUCAGUGUUGCUGGAACCCAGGUGUCCCCUCAUGGUGUCCCAUUUUCCCUGUGCUCAGGCCUCAGGGAUAUUCAUCCUCAUGGUCUCCUGUCAGCUUAACGUUAUGCCUUGUGCAUUCAGGCCUGAAUCCACCUGAGAUCCCUGUUAACGUGUGGGAUCAGGCCCCUCCGAAAUCCGACCGGAUGCAUAGGACCAGAGAUUGAGGCAAGCAUCUGCAGGAGUGGCAAUUCAACUGGGGAAGAAAAACACGUUUUCUCUCUGUCUCCGCUGACUUGGUAAGUGAAGAAAGUUG